This 495-nucleotide ribosomal RNA is filed under the name uncultured bacterium. RNAcentral describes it as "partial 16S ribosomal RNA". It matches the Rfam family "Bacterial small subunit ribosomal RNA", at positions 28 to 507 of the family's 1533-position model. The record is from RNAcentral.
GACGAACGCUGGCGGCGUGCCUAAUACAUGCAAGUAGAACGCUGAAGGAGGAGCUUGCUUCUCCGGAUGAGUUGCGAACGGGUGAGUAACGCGUAGGUAACCUGCCUGGUAGCGGGGGAUAACUAUUGGAAACGAUAGCUAAUACCGCAUAAGAGUAGAUGUCGCAUGACAUUUGCUUAAAAGGUGCAACUGCACCACUACCAGAUGGACCUGCGUUGUAUUAGCUAGUUGGUGAGGUAACGGCUCACCAAGGCAACGAUACAUAGCCGACCUGAGAGGGUGAUCGGCCACACUGGGACUGAGACACGGCCCAGACUCCUACGGGAGGCAGCAGUAGGGAAUCUUCGGCAAUGGACGGAAGUCUGACCGAGCAACGCCGCGUGAGGGAAGAAGGUUGUCGGAUCGUAAAGCUCUGUUGUAAGAGAAGAACGAGUGUGAGAGUGGAAAGUUCACACUGUGACGGUAUCUUACCAGAAAGGGACGGCUAACUACGUG